Molecule: long non-coding RNA, 965 nt
Filed under: Heterocephalus glaber (naked mole-rat)
Lineage: Eukaryota; Metazoa; Chordata; Mammalia; Rodentia; Bathyergidae
Description: lncRNA (ENSHGLG00000050186.1)
Source: RNAcentral
CGCUAGCCCUCUGUAAUCCCGUACCUGUAAUCCCGGCUGCGUCCCUGGAGGAGCGGCGGGCAGAAGCUUGGGGAGGAGGCUGAGGUGGGGAGCAGAGGGCGCCCUCAGGGUGCCCAGGCUUGGCUGCAGCGGUGAGCGGUGAGCGGUGAGCGGCGCAGCUGCUCUGUCAGGUGCCAGAGAGGCAGGUGCAGGAGCCGAACCUGCCCCGCAGCGCGUCAAGGGUCUCACUAUGUAGCCCAAGCUGACCUCGAACUCGCGGCGAUCCUCCUGCCUCAGCCUCCCGAGUACUGGGGCUACAGCCAUGCACCACCGCAUCCCGCUCCUCCCUCCAUUUUAAAUUCUAACCGGCCCCCUUUCAAACUCAUCCCACCAUCCACAACCCUGCUUCCUAUGGCCUGGGUCCCUACUCCCCUCUACUCCGAAUAGCUCCCUGACCCCAAUAACCUGGGCAAAGGAAAGAGACUCCCAGAACUGCUUCAGAAAGUGGCAAGGAGGGGCAGGUUUUGAGGGGGACUCAUAGCAAUGCCUUUUACUGUAAUAAAAAUGUUUCAUUUUAAACAUUCUCUGUGUAUUUCCACACUGUGACAUGCAUACGCGCACACACACACACACACACACACGUGUAGUGUAUAAUUAUCUAUUCAUCUAGUUUAUUUGGCUCCUUAAACCAGGAAUUCUGAAUCUCGGCUACAGACCUAACACUACACUCAGCAAGAGCUUCAGGCCGACUUGAAAAUGUGAAUGAGAAACAGAAACUUCAUGCAGCCCUUUGCUUUACCCUGCUGUCCCAGGGCAGAAGCCAGGCAUUGUGGCGCACAUCUGUCAUCUCAGGACCAGGGAGGCUGAGGCAGGAGAAUCGACCCAAGUUCGACGCCAGCCUGGGCUACAUAGUGAGUUCAAGGCCAACCUGAACUGCACAGGGAGACUCUGUCUCCAAAAAACUCCCCCCAAGUCUGAAACAAAAC